This 116-nucleotide transfer RNA is filed under the name Trametes cinnabarina. RNAcentral describes it as "Pycnoporus cinnabarinus tRNA". It matches the Rfam family "tRNA". Rfam says of the family: Transfer RNA (tRNA) molecules are approximately 80 nucleotides in length. Their secondary structure includes four short double-helical elements and three loops (D, anti-codon, and T loops). Lineage: Eukaryota; Fungi; Basidiomycota; Agaricomycetes; Polyporales; Polyporaceae. The record is from Rfam by way of RNAcentral.
GGCUACCUGGCGCAAUGGUAGCGCGUCUGGCUUCGAUCGCCGACGGCACCAGCUCGGGAUGCUCCUGAGUGGAUCCUGACACCAGAAGGCUGCAGGUUCGAGUCCUGCGGUGGUCA